Molecule: ribosomal RNA, 472 nt
Filed under: uncultured bacterium
Lineage: Bacteria
Description: bacterial SSU rRNA
Rfam family: Bacterial small subunit ribosomal RNA
Source: RNAcentral
AGCGAACGCUAGCGGCGGGCCUAACACAUGCAAGUCGAGCGGGGGAGCAAUCCCCAGCGGCGGACGGGUGAGUAACACGUAGGUUAUGUGCCCUUUGGUGGGGAAUAACCGUGGGAAACCAUGGCUAAUUCCGCAUAUCGAGCGAAAUCUUGAAAGCCUUCGGGCGCCAAAAGGAGCAACCUGCGGCCCAUUAGCUUGUUGGUAGGGUAACGGCCUACCAAGGCGAUGAUGGGUAGCUGGUCUGAGAGGAUGAUCAGCCACACUGGAACUGAGACACGGUCCAGACUCCUACGGGAGGCAGCAGUAAGGAAUAUUGGGCAAUGGAGGCAACUCUGACCCAGCCAUGCCGCGUGAAGGAUGACGGCCCUAUGGGUUGUAACUUCUUUAUACGGGAAUAAACCGGGUACGUGUACCGGCUGAAUGUACCGUAAGAAUAAGGAUCGGCUAACUCCGUGCCAGCAGCCGCGGUAAU